This 563-nucleotide ribosomal RNA is filed under the name uncultured bacterium. RNAcentral's name for it is "bacterial SSU rRNA". It matches the Rfam family "Bacterial small subunit ribosomal RNA", at positions 60 to 635 of the family's 1533-position model. The record is from RNAcentral.
AGUCGAACGAUUAAAGCUUUUUUCGGAAAGUGUAUAAAGUGGCGUACGGGAGAGUAACACGUAGGUAAUCUACCCUCGGGUGGGGAAUAACUUAGGGAAACUUAAGCUAAUACCGCAUAAUGCAGCGGUUCCGUUUGGAAACAGUUGUUAAAGCAUUUAUGCGCCUGAGGAGGAGCUUGCGGCAGAUUAGCUAGUUGGUAAGGUAACGGCUUACCAAAGCGACAAUCUGUAGCCGGUCUAAGAGGACGGUCGGUCUCACUGACACUGAAUAACGGGUCAGACUCCUACGGGAGGCAGCAGUCGGGAAUUUUGGGCAAUGGGCGAAAGCCUGACCCAGCAACGCCGCGUGAAGGAUGAAGUCCUUCGGGAUGUAAACUUCGAAAUUAUAGGAAGAAUCAAUGACGGUACUAUAAGUAAGCUCCGGCUAACUACGUGCCAGCAGCCGCGGUAAUACGUAGGGGGCAAGCGUUGUUCGGAUUUACUGGGCGUAAAGGGUGCGUAGGUGGCAUGACAAGUCACUUGUGAAAUCUCCGAGCUUAACUCGGAACGGUCAAGUGAUACUG